UUCGCAAUGCCCGAAAGGGUGACGAUGCGACGCCGCGUGAGCGAAGAAGGCCCUAGGGUUGUAAAGCUCUGUCGAGGGUUAUGAAAUAUAGAUGGGUUAAUACCCCAUUUAUUUGACAAAGGCCCAAAAGGAAGCCACGGCUAACUCUGUGCCAGCAGCCGCUGUAAUACAGAGGUGGCGAGCGUUGUUCGGUAUUAUUGGGCGUAAAGAGCACGUAGGUGGUUUUGUAAGUCAGGUGUGAAAGCCUUCUGUUCAAAGGAAGAACGGCAUCUGAAACUGCAGAUCUUGAGUGUAGGAGGGGAGAGUGGAACUUCUGGUGGAGCGGUGAAAUGCGUAGAUAUCAGAAGGAACGUCGGCGGCGAAAGCGACUCUCUGGCCUAUUACUGACACUGAGGUGCGAAAGUUAGGGGAGCAAACGGGAUUAGAUACCCCGGUAGUCCUAACCGUAAACGAUGGGCACUAAGUAGAGGGGUUUU
This 476-nucleotide ribosomal RNA is filed under the name uncultured anaerobic ammonium-oxidizing bacterium. RNAcentral describes it as "bacterial SSU rRNA". It matches the Rfam family "Bacterial small subunit ribosomal RNA", at positions 365 to 832 of the family's 1533-position model. The record is from RNAcentral.